UGAAACUGAGGCUCAGAGACUGAAAGUUAAAUGCCUCAGGUUGCAGUUAAUAAGAGGCAGAGCUGGAACUGAAACCUUAUGUGUCUUACAACCAGUGGAUGUUCUGACAGUAGGCUAGUUUACUUCAGAGCAUGGAAUAGAUGGUGUGUGCCUGCUAGGAUGGACCAGGUAUCACUGUAGGUGGAGUUUGUCCCAGAGCUGCACAAAAUCAGCAGCAGCAUGAUCAAACAAGGUAAACUUCAGAAAAAGCAGCUUGUUCAGAUGUGAUCAGCAGUGAACUCAGAAUCAGCUGAGUGGCAUUGAAUUCCUUGGACAUCCCUGGGAGCUCAACCAUGAGGGUCAACUUGGUUUUCUCCCCCUCAUUAGGGUUCAGAAUUAAAAGUC
This is a long non-coding RNA of Cebus imitator (Panamanian white-faced capuchin), 384 nucleotides long. RefSeq lists it as uncharacterized. The transcript is spliced from 3 exons. The record is from RefSeq and is a predicted model, not a curated record. NCBI's taxonomy places the organism in Eukaryota, Metazoa, Chordata, Mammalia, Primates, Cebidae.